Molecule: ribosomal RNA, 253 nt
Filed under: uncultured bacterium
Lineage: Bacteria
Description: partial 16S ribosomal RNA
Rfam family: Bacterial small subunit ribosomal RNA
Source: RNAcentral
UACGGAGGGUGCAAGCGUCGUCCGGAUUUAUUGGGUUUAAAGGGUGCGUAGGCGGCCCUAUAAGUCAGUGGUGAAAGCCCAUCGCUCAACGAUGGAACUGCCAUUGAUACUGUAGGGCUUGAGUACAGACGAGGUAGGCGGAAUUGAUGGUGUAGCGGUGAAAUGCAUAGAUACCAUCAAGAACACCGAUUGCGUAGGCAGCUUACUAGGCUGUAACUGACGCUGAGGCACGAAAGCGUGGGGAGCGAACAGG